RNAcentral lists this long non-coding RNA (257 nucleotides) under Nicotiana benthamiana. RNAcentral describes it as "long non-coding RNA (NBEN_LNC010520)". The record is from RNAcentral. Lineage: Eukaryota; Viridiplantae; Streptophyta; Magnoliopsida; Solanales; Solanaceae.
GUAUUCAAAGAAUCCUUUAUAGUCUCAACUAUGCUCCUCCGCUGACCUCUGUCCGGCCUGAGGCUAAUCUCUAAGCUCGAGCUCCCGUCUCUCACUGUUAGAGAGUAAUAAUUCACUUCGUUCACCCAUCCUCGCCUACGCUAUGAAAUAGAUUGUUUUUCCAUAAAUAUGAGUUAUUAUUUUGCUUUUCGAUUAUUUUUUUGAUUCAAUGACACCGACGAGAAUGAUACUAAAAGAAAUAAUAUUAUAACUAAGCG